Molecule: ribosomal RNA, 488 nt
Filed under: Teuthowenia megalops
Lineage: Eukaryota; Metazoa; Mollusca; Cephalopoda; Oegopsida; Cranchiidae
Description: partial 16S ribosomal RNA
Rfam family: Bacterial large subunit ribosomal RNA
Source: RNAcentral
UCUCUUGUAUAUAAACAUAAAGAGUGGCCUGCUCGGUGAAUAAUUUUUUAACAGCUGCGGUAUUUUAACUGUACUAAGGUAGCAUAAUAAUUUGCCUUAUAAUUUGAGGCUAGAAUGAAUGGUUUGACGAAGGUUAAUCUGUCUCUAUCUUAUUUUUUAGAAUUUAAUUUUAUAGUGAAAAAGCUUUAAUUUUUUAAAGGGACGAGAAGACCCUAUUGAGCUUUUAAUUUUAUUGUGUUUUAAAUAUUUAUUUUUAUAGCGUUAUUAUAAAUUUUAAUUGGGGUGAUUAAGGAAUAAAUUAUUAACUUCCUUAGUUUGAAUAUUGUUUGAUAAAGUAACCAAUAUGUUAUUGCUUUUAUUAUAGUUACCAUAGGGAUAACAGCGUAAUUUAUUUAGAGAGUUCUUAUUAAAAAAUGAGAUUGCGACCUCGAUGUUGGAUUAAAGUAACCUCAAGGUGAAGAAGCUUGAUAGGUAAACUGUCGAUUUUA